RNAcentral lists this ribosomal RNA (490 nucleotides) under uncultured bacterium. RNAcentral's name for it is "partial 16S ribosomal RNA". It matches the Rfam family "Bacterial small subunit ribosomal RNA", at positions 28 to 507 of the family's 1533-position model. The record is from RNAcentral.
GAUGAACGCUAGCGAUAGGCUUAACACAUGCAAGUCGAGGGGCAGCAUGGUCUUAGCUUGCUAAGACUGAUGGCGACCGGCGCACGGGUGCGUAACGCGUAUGCAACUUGCCUCACAGAGGGGGAUAACCCGUCGAAAGACGGACUAAUACCGCGUACACUCCAUCUUGGGCAUCCAAGGUAGAGGAAAUGAAAUUCGCUGUGAGAUAGGCAUGCGUCCCAUUAGCUAGUUGGUGAGGUAACGGCUCACCAAGGCGACGAUGGGUAGGGGAACUGAGAGGUUGAACCCCCACACUGGUACUGAGACACGGACCAGACUCCUACGGGAGGCAGCAGUGAGGAAUAUUGGUCGAUGGGCGAGAGCCUGAACCAGCCAAGUCGCGUGAAGGAUGACUGUCUUAUGGAUUGUAAACUUCUUUUAUACGGGAAUAACAAGAGUCACGUGUGACUCCCUGCAUGUACCGUAUGAAUAAGCAUCGGCUAACUCCGUG